Bradysia coprophila is the source of this 102-nucleotide long non-coding RNA. The record is from RefSeq and is a predicted model, not a curated record. Lineage: Eukaryota; Metazoa; Arthropoda; Insecta; Diptera; Sciaridae.
CCGGUGUCAAAUGAGUUCAAACAAACUCUGCUUUUUUAUAAGGCUUAAAGUGAACAGACUCACGAAUCGUAAACAAGUAGCAGAGUUUCACAAACGUCUUUA